AAUGUUGAAGAUUAAUGAGCGUGCCCUCGCUCUGUUACAGUGGUACAGAGAUUACCAUGUGCCACGUGGGAAGGAAGAGGCCAACAUUUUGAAGGAAAAGAAUAGUGUCUGAAGGUGAGUGAGAGGUACAGCUUUCCAGGUAUGGAAUGAGUAAGUCAUGGGGAUGAAAGACACGCCAUAGGGGAUACAGUCAAUGGUAUUAUAAUAGCAUUUUAUGGACAGAUGGUAGCUACACUUGCGGUGAGCAUAGCAUAACACAUGGAUUUGCUGAAUCACCAUGUACACCUGAAACCAAUGCAACAUUGCAUGUCAACUACUUCUAUUUAAAAAAAAAAAGAAAAGAAAAGAGAAAAGAAAGGAAAAGAAAAGAAAAGAAAGAAAAGAAAAGAAAAAAGAAAAGAAGAAAAGAAAAGAAAGAGAAAAGAAAAGAAAAGAAAAGAAAAGAAAAGAAAAGAAAAGAAAAGAAAGGAAAAGAAGAAAAGAAAAGAAGAGGAUAGGGUUCAGGAGCCAACAAGGGCCAGAAGGUAUCAGCUCCAUCCUUGAUACAAAAAUCCUUCUAGGAAAAAAGUUACUGAAAAACAUUUCCUGAAUUAUAUUCUCUGUUUACAGAAUGCUGGCCGUGUUAUAAAACCGGAUAGUCUUGCAUCUUCUGCAGAAGACAGCAGACAUGCAGGACCGCUCAGAAGUGUUUUGGUUUGUGUGUGUUUUUUCUCUUUUUAAGUUUGACAGUCUCGGGCAUUAAUGAGUUCGAUCUGCCUCUGUUUUGUGUGCUGAGAGCAAUUUCUGAACUCACGACUAGUGCAAGAGCACACACGAUUGAAUAAGCAUCGAGGGAUGGGAAGUAGGUGAGGAGGAUCUCAUGUGAUUCUCGCAGACCCUGGGGCACAGAGGAGUCUAUUCGAUAUAAGAAUUGCACGCACAGCACAUCGUUUCUCCAUCGGUCGUGUGCUCAGAGAGCAGCCCCAGCGCAGAAGCCUGGAACAGAUGGACAGACUGCGAGCGGAAAGACAGCAGGCCCUCUUCUGCUUUCCUUCAUCAGCCACGAAUUACACGGGAAUUGCCUGGCCUCAACUGACAUGCUCAGAGAAGGCUGUGCUGGGGGCCAACUCUGCCAUCAGGGCAUUGUAUGAAAAAGCUAAUUGGGAAAGACUAGAUUCUCUUUGGUUUGAUAGCUGCUGAUGUUUUGAUAUGUCCAGCGAGCCAUCUGCAACUACGAACUCCCUGCUGAGUGGCUGGCUGGGAGACAAAGAAAAGGAAAACAGCAAAGAAGUCACCAUGUGAUGUGAGCGGAGAGUUUUUGGCAGCCUGGCCGAACUCAGACCAUAAUCCUUUUCGGAAAUCAUUCUAAACCGGAAUUCUUCACAAUAAACAUGAAAUUAAAAGCA
RNAcentral lists this long non-coding RNA (1385 nucleotides) under Vulpes vulpes (red fox). RNAcentral's name for it is "lncRNA (ENSVVUG00000007787.1)". The record is from RNAcentral. Lineage: Eukaryota; Metazoa; Chordata; Mammalia; Carnivora; Canidae.